Molecule: ribosomal RNA, 499 nt
Filed under: uncultured Glomeromycotina
Lineage: Eukaryota; Fungi; Glomeromycota
Description: partial small subunit ribosomal RNA
Rfam family: Eukaryotic small subunit ribosomal RNA
Source: RNAcentral
CCAAUAGCGUAUAUUAAAGUUGUUGCAGUUAAAAAGCUCGUAGUUGAAUUUCGGGAUCAGUAUGUCGGUCGUGCCUCCGGUAUGUACUGGCGUCACUGGUUCCUCCCUUCUGACGAACCAUCAUGCUAUUAAUUUAGUGUGGUGGGAAAUCAGGACUGUUACUUUGAAAAAAUUAGAGUGUUUAAAGCAGGCUCACGCUUGAAUACAUUAGCAUGGAAUAAUGAAAUAGGACGUUGAUCCUAUUUUGUUGGUUUCUAGGAUUGACGUAAUGAUUAAUAGGGAUAGUUGGGGGCAUUAGUAUUCAAUUGUCAGAGGUGAAAUUCUUGGAUUUAUUGAAGACUAACUACUGCGAAAGCAUUUGCCAAGGAUGUUUUCAUUAAUCAAGAACGAAAGUUAGGGGAUCGAAGACGAUCAGAUACCGUCGUAGUCUUAACCAUAAACUAUGCCGACUAGGGAUCGGAUGAUGUUAAUUUUUUAAUGACUCAUUCGGCGCCUUACG